UUACACGAUGCUCCAAAUUUAUUAAAAAUCACUGAUUUGUAUACUCUGAAUAGAUGAAUGGAUAUUAAACACAUCAUACCUCAAUAUGAUUUUUUUAAGGAAAUUAUACUCUCCUUCAUAUUGCUUGAGAGUUGUUUAAAUAAGUGUCAGUGUCACUCAAUCCUGGGCAUUGAUUCUUUCAAUCUUUUAUUCCAACCAGACAGGUUUGAAAAACUCACAUCUCAUUAUUCUUAAUAAUAAACAUUUCUUUGAUUUCUAGUAAACCUAAGUAUUUCCUUCUAUUGAAUUUGUUAUUUUCUUAUAAGGAUAGACAUGUUUUCUACAAGGACAUGUGAGGCUCUUCAUCUUUUAAAAAAUAGCACACUUUUUUCAGUGAUAUGUGGUAUAAAUAUUUUUUCCCAGUUUUUCUUACAUUUUAAGAUGUUGUUAACAGGAUUUUUUUUUUCUUGGCCAUAUUAACCUAUUCACUUUCAUGGAGACAAAUUCAUCUGUAUUUUCAUUUACAGAGUCUGUCUCUGGUGUUAUGUGAUAUACUUUUGAAAGAAAUCAGAACUCUUGCACCCCUAUGUCAAACUCAGCACUACUAGGCUUUUCCAUUUUAUGAAAAGAAGUAAAACAUAAUUUCAAAUCUCAAAGCUACAGAUCAACAGACUUUUCUUCCUAAACCCUCUUUUUUUUUUUUGCUUUUUAGUGCUGAAAGUGCAGCAUACAGGAGUCCCAGGCUAGGAGUUGAGCCUACACCACAGCCACAGCAAUGCCAGAUCCAAGCUGUGUCUGUGACCUACACCACAGCUCACGGCAACGCAGGAUCCUUAACCCACUGAGCAAGGCCAGGGAUCGAACCUGCAUCCUCAUGGACACUAGUGGGAUUCGUUUCCAUCUCACCAUAACGAGCACUUCCUAAACCUCCAUUUUUAAGUAUAGAGAGACACUGGUGUUUAUAACCCAAGUCCCUGGAAAACUGCCUCAUUAGAGAACGUCUGAUGUGACACGCUAGACAUCUCCAACAGUUCCAUUGAGGAGGAACUGGAAAAAUUCAAAGAUGGAUGUGAAAAUGGGUUUGCUGUUGCGAGUCAUACCAGGACCAUGGCUCUGGGCCUCACUGGCUAAGGCUUCUCUGAACAUCAGUUCAUCACAUAACAAGCAUUUGCAGAUGUCUGACCAGCAUAGUCUAGAACUAAGCCACUCAUUGUCCCGCCACUACCUGAGUCCACAAAUAUUAUCAUUUCCCUUUCUGUUUCACUCAGUAUGUCAGUAAUGAGUUCCCAUCAAUUAGGUAAUGAAUACAAGAAAGUCAAAUUUAUUUCAAUCUCACUAACUCAGGAAGAGAUUUAACAGCAACUUUAUUUUUAUUUAUUUAUCUGUUUCGUCAUUUUAGGGCCAUACCUGUGGUAUAUGGAGGUUCCCAGCUAGGGGUCCAAUGGGAGCUGCAGCUGCUGGCCUACACCACAGCCACAACAACGCCAGAUCAGAGCUGCGUCUGUGACCUACACCACAAGUCAUGGCAAUGCCAGCUCCCUAACCCACUGAGGCCAGGGAUGGAAACUGCGUCUUCAAGGAUGCUAGUUGGAUUUGUUUCCACUGAGCCACGAUGGGAAUUCCUAACAGCAACUUUAGAACUCAUCUCUGUUGAGCGCUGUUCUGCUUCAAAAAAUACUACUGCAGUUAUAAAAACCAUGUGGUCUUGUGUAGCUAUGACUAUCACACAUGAAGAUAUAGACAAAAGUCACAAAGAUAGGAUUAAGAAAUGGCAUAAGAAUGUUUUAUGUUAAUGUGGUUACUGUGGCCUUGAAAGUGGAUACCUGAGACCUUUUAAGAAAUAAUCAGAAGAGGCACUGAAAUGCCUGAACACAGAAAAUGACUGUUAGAGUCUCACCCACAGUUUCAAGACUGGCUCCAAGUCCACCUUCUUUCCUUAUCUAUCCUACUGCUUUCAAAUCUAUACUAUAUAUCUGGGACAUAUAUAUAGGCUUAACUUCAUUCAACUGUCUUGCACCUGCCACUCUUAGCACUUGGAAGUUCGAUGAGAGCAACUUUGUGUUCCUGGGGCAGGAAAUCAGUACUAGGAUUCUAGAUGCUUUUAUUGACUUUCUUAGUGCUGUUUCUUACUCUGCAGAACAGCCUCAACAGUGCUCAUUAAAUAACAUAUUUUGGUUUCUGGGAAAAGUUGGAAAAAAGAAGCCAAGAUGGCAAAAAAAAGUAUUAUGGGGGCACUUUCAAAACUUACUAUAAUGUAGAACAGGUAGUGCGUUAGCCAUAAAAAUAUCGUGGAGUAGUAUGUAAAUAACCCAGCUUCCCAGAUCUCAAAAAGCAACGUCCAGAUUGUCUCCAUUUUCUUGCAUCUAGGCAGGUUUUACCUAAUGUCUAUGGUUGCCUACAUAAGUUCCAGUGAAUUCCAGGGUCCCAUGGCGGGGGGGCUCCAAGGUUUGGCUUGUAGGCUGGAUGACCAUGUAGCCAUGUUUAAUUUGUAGCUGCUCCUGUCCAGUUACCAGCCCAGGUCUUUGGGCUGCAGGAAUUAAUGAAAAGCCUUUCUAUUAAUCAAGGAGAGGUUUCCCACCUCUGAAAACACUCUGAUAUUCUGAGCGACAACACAUAUAUGCCUGCACACAGUUCUGCCCUGAGUUCCAGGAUGUCUGGUUAGCUUCUUGGGGUGUCCUGCCUUCCAGGAAAAUAAAGUAAUAAUCAAGUCAGUUCCUCUGCUUUUCAACCCUUCUGUUUCCUUAAGACAGGUGGGCAGUGAGGACAAUGUUUAAGAAUAAUGUUUUUCCAACCCUGAGUCGAACAACAAGGAUUCCAGAACAUCAGGGUCCAUUAUAAUAAAGAAACUGUGCCCAUCUAACUUACUAUUUGUCUAAAUUUGUUAAUAAUUCCCAGGAAAGGAGAUGGCACCAAUUCACUCUGUAACCCAUUUCUUGACAACUCUACUAGAAUUCCCAACCUUGUAAUGAAACCACAGAUAAAUGUUGAAAAUGUUGGCCUCCUUCUAAUGUUCUCAUUCUAGUACUGGAAAAACAACACUUUCAUAAAAAUUAAAUUUAAAUAGUGAAUCUAAAGUAUUAGUAUUCUUAAUAGGCCAUCCAUUAUCUUAGGCUUUGCAUUUCAAAUUCUUCUUGACCCACUCACCACUAAAUGAAGAGCAUGAGUAAAUAAGAUAAGGCCUUUAGAUCUACAGGGUCUAAUUAAAUCUUUGGUACUAGCUAUUGGUUGGUGAGGCCGUUGGGUAAUUCGUGUCUCUAAGCUGCAGUUCAACUGCCAUAACACCUGUCCAGGUGUUCUGAGAAUUAAAUGAGAUGUUAAAUCAAACUCUACCCACAAUAUGAGGCGCAGAGUGUGUCCACAAACUCUAAGAUCUAAAAACUUUUAAAGAUUAUUUUUUUUAAAUGGAGGACACAAGCCUCCACCACAUUCUUAGCAAAGACAGGUUAAAAAGGCAAAAGCGUCUGCACUGCUAAACUUCAAUAUUUUAAUAUUCACUUAACACAAAUCAUUCCACCAUCUUUAAUCGAUAAAGCAGAAUAUUAUUUGCCAUUUUGCUUCAAAUGUAGUAUCUUCACUGGUGAACACGAGGGCAGGCAGUGAGAGGGUGCAAAAGCAUUUUCUUAGAAACAGCUGCCAAACCGCGGUUUUUCCUCAGGGUGGGGAAAAGCCUUCCUUCCCUUCCCUCCCUGGGACAAUGACAAGUGGCGGCCGGACUCCGAGGGAAACGUGCCUCCCAGUGCGAUGCCUGCUUCAGAGGUUUAAGGACAACAACGGAAAAGGAGGAGUCUCACAGAGGGAAAAUCCGAGGCCCGUGGAGACAGGGGACCACCUCCUAGAAAACCUAGAUGGAUCCUCAUCAGGGACAGUUUCUCGCCCGUUGCGUGGGGAGCGUAAACCUUCUGCCCAGGCUAAUAUCAGAAAGGCAGGUCAGAGAGAUUGCACAUGAAAAAAGACUCAACCUGCCGCUUCUGGAUUUAAAGAAGAAGGGACCAUGAGCCAAGGAAGGCAGGUGGCCUCUAUAACCUGGAGAAUGCAAGGGAACAGAUUCUCCUCCAGAGCCUCUAAGAAGGAACGCCUUAAUCCUGGCCCAGUGGGACAUGUUGAACUUCUCACCCAUAGAACUUCCACAGAUCCAUUACCAACGCAGUGGACGAUUCACACUGGAAUGCUGAGUAGUGAGGAAGAAAGAUCCCUUCAGAGGAAGCAGAUGGUAAAAUAAGGCACAAGGACAAAACAGUAUGAGAAAAAGAAUGUAUAUGUAUGUAUAACUGGGUCACUUUGCUGUGCAGCAGAAAUUGAAGGAACAUGGUAAAUCAACUAUAAUUUAAGAAAUUAGGAAAAGAAAGAGAGAAGACAUGAGGGAUGACUCUGGGCAGAGAUAAGGUGACUCCUUGAAAAUUCUUUCCCUGCCUGUUUCAGUCCACAAACAUGUUUGUAGUUGCAGUUGAACUUCCCUGAGACUCUGAUCCAUUCCAGAGGCUGGUAAAAAUGCAACCAUUUAGCUACAAAGGAAAAUCUCUGAGCACUAGAAGCAUAGCCAACCAGAAGACAGUCCCAAGGAAAUCACCCGGCAACAAUAAGAGAGUUGAGAACAAAGCAACCCAGUAACCAAAACAGAACCCAGACAUACUAAGGAAAGAAAGGGAUGUUCAGGCAAGGAUGCUCUGUGUCAGGUUCAAGUCAGCAGUGACACAAGACUUGUAUUUGCUCACUCAUAUUUAAUGAAUGCAGUGCUUUUCCAAGAAUUAUCCAGUUCUAGGUUGAAUAAGAAACAGUCUCUUUCUUCAAUAAAAUGAUGAUAAUGGAAUAUUAUUCACCCAUAAAAAGAAAUAAUGCCAUUUGCGGCAACAUGGAUGGAC
Sus scrofa (pig) is the source of this 4838-nucleotide non-coding RNA. NCBI's taxonomy places the organism in Eukaryota, Metazoa, Chordata, Mammalia, Artiodactyla, Suidae. The record is from RefSeq and is a predicted model, not a curated record.